RNAcentral lists this ribosomal RNA (324 nucleotides) under uncultured Ceratobasidiaceae. Its description in RNAcentral is "eukaryotic LSU rRNA". The record is from RNAcentral. Lineage: Eukaryota; Fungi; Basidiomycota; Agaricomycetes; Cantharellales; Ceratobasidiaceae.
CGCACCUUGCGCUCCUUGGUAUUCCUCGGAGCAUGCCUGUUUGAGUAUCAUGAAAUCUUCAAAAUAAAUCUUUUGUUCACCUACAAAUUGUAUUUUUGUUUUGGUACGUUGGAGGCUUGCAGAUUCACGUCUGCUCCUACUUUAAAUUUAUUAGCUGGAUCUCGGUGAGCUCGGUUCCACUCGGCGUGAUAAGUAUCACUCGCCGAGGACACUAGUAAAGGUGGCCGGGAUUGCGGAUGAACCGCUUCUAAUAGUCCAUUGACUUGGACAAUAAAUACUUUAUGAUCUGAUCUCAAAUCAGGUAGGACUACCCGCUGAACUUAA